Molecule: ribosomal RNA, 419 nt
Filed under: bacterium
Lineage: Bacteria
Description: partial 16S ribosomal RNA
Rfam family: Bacterial small subunit ribosomal RNA
Source: RNAcentral
UGGGGGAUAUUGCACAAUGGGCGAAAGCCUGAUGCAGCGACGCCGCGUGGGGGAUGAAGGCCUUCGGGUUGUGAACUUCUUUUGCUCUGAACAAGGCGCACCAUGGGGUGUGUUGAGUGUAGGGGUUGAUUAGCGCCGGCUAACUACGUGCCAGCAGCCGCGGUAAUACGUAGGGCGCGAGCGUUGUCCGGAAUUAUUGGGCGUAAAGGGCUUGUAGGUGGCUGGUUGCGUCUGUCGUGAAAGCUCAUGGCUUAACUGUGGGUUUGCGGUGGGUACGGGCUGGCUUGAGUGCAGUAGGGGAGGCUGGAAUUCCUGGUGUAGCGGUGGAAUGCGCAGAUAUCAGGAGGAAUACCGGUGGCGAAGGCGGGUCUCUGGGCUGUUACUGACACUGAGGAGCGAAAGCAUGGGGAGCGAACAGG